This 262-nucleotide ribosomal RNA is filed under the name uncultured archaeon. Its description in RNAcentral is "partial 16S ribosomal RNA". It matches the Rfam family "Archaeal small subunit ribosomal RNA", at positions 748 to 1009 of the family's 1478-position model. The record is from RNAcentral.
CAGCCCUAAACGAUGCGCGUUAGGUGUAUCGGUGACCACGAGUCACCGAGGUGCCGAAGGGAAACCGUGAAACGUGCCGCCUGGGAAGUACGGUCGCAAGGCUGAAACUUAAAGGAAUUGGCGGGGGGAGCACCACAACGGGUGGAGCCUGCGGUUUAAUUGGACUCAAUGCCGGGAAGCUCACCGGAUAAGACAGCGGAAUGAUUGCCGGGCUGAAGACCCUGCAUGACCAGCUGAGAGGAGGUGCAUGGCGUAGACGUCU